GCUCCUGUCGCUUAGUGGUUAAAGCCCCGGUCUUAUAAAACAUUCGAAAAACGAAUGCUGUUAUGCCGGAGCCCUCGGUUCGAGUCCGAGCAGGAGCA
Gnomoniopsis sp. IMI 355080 is the source of this 98-nucleotide non-coding RNA. Lineage: Eukaryota; Fungi; Ascomycota; Sordariomycetes; Diaporthales; Gnomoniaceae. The record is from the annotation of a GenBank genome assembly.